AUAGCAGAGUGAAUACCAAACACCGUGACGGGCAGUUCGCUUCGCCUGCCCAAGGAAGAUGGAUCGACCAGACAUACUUCACCUCAUCAUCUGUGUCCCCCCUGGGAGCGCGGAUGGUGUUUUAAAGAAAACGGAAUUCAAGAGGGAUGCAAGGAGGAAGUACUGAGUAGGAAGUAUUAAGAUUGAAGACUAAAUCGGAGGGCAAAGGGGC
This 211-nucleotide unclassified non-coding RNA is filed under the name uncultured fungus. RNAcentral describes it as "sequence contains ITS1". Lineage: Eukaryota; Fungi. The record is from RNAcentral.